UUGUCAGUAGGUGUAAUCCUUACCUGUGGCUUUCGAGCCAUAGUAAUGGAUAGCGAUAUGAUGAGGGGGUCUCAUGAAUCCAUGAUUAAACGACCCAAGCCGUUAGGCGUGACACCCUAAGUGGCUACCUCUGAU
RNAcentral lists this small nucleolar RNA (135 nucleotides) under Mnemiopsis leidyi (sea walnut). RNAcentral describes it as "U8 small nucleolar RNA". It matches the Rfam family "U8 small nucleolar RNA". From Rfam's summary of the family: U8 is a member of the C/D class of snoRNA which contain the C (UGAUGA) and D (CUGA) box motifs. U8 is the RNA component of a small complex (the U8 snoRNP) which is required for accumulation of mature large subunit ribosomal RNAs, 5.8S and 28S rRNAs. The record is from RNAcentral. Lineage: Eukaryota; Metazoa; Ctenophora; Tentaculata; Lobata; Bolinopsidae.